CGCAGGUUCUAACCCCUCGUGAUCCCCCACUACCCGGCCGCUUUCACGACGAUCACACGACCCGACGUUUUUCCACCCUUAUCUUCGCUCGCUUCACCGUCUCAAAAACCUGUAUAGGCACUUUCAUAGCUUGCGCCGCGAAGAUGUCAACGGGGAUGUCGCUUUUUUCUCUCUCCCCCCCUCCCCCCCUCUCUCUCUCCAUCUCUUUGUCAAGAGUGGGGGACGACGCUCGCGAUCGUCGAUACGGGCCUGUGUUUCGACCACGGGAACGGAAACUUUUGCAUCCUGCUCUUUUACUGCCGAUGCCCAACGAUCCCUCAACUGACUGUUUGUCGAGGAAUUUUUCCUUUUGGUUGCCAAACAGCGGAAUCCAAGACACAUCAGCCCCAUUGGAGCAUGCUCUUCGGGACUCGCGGAGUCUCGGCUACGGCCGUGCUCGAGGAACCGAGUUUUACGCGGUGUGCGAGCUUCCACGGGCGAGGGGAGGACGAUGGAAAGGGCGAACGAGCGGAGGCUGAGGCAACGGGACGCGGAAGAGGGCGGCGCGGCGUGGCAACCGGCGGGCAAACAACAAGAGGUUUUCGUAGCCGGCUAACGGCAGAGUUUCCUCAUAAACUCUUAGGGAAGUUCGCAGACAAACACAGAAAUAUUUUGUAAUGGAAACACGUCCCUGAGAAAUUAAAUAUCGCAAUGAAGAAGAUGAAGUUGCGUUUGUAGCCGAGUGCUACGAGGAGACGACUGCCGGCGAAUCCAGAAGCGUAUUACGUGCGACGAACAGUCAUUAAUCGCUACCGUUUUCGAACGUCGUGAAUGUCAAUCACCUGAUCUUAUUCUCUUUCGAUUUAUUGGGUUGGCAACUAAGUGACUGCGGAUUUUGUCAAUAUCAUCUAAUGACAAAAUCCGCAAUCACUUAGUUGCCAACCCAAUAGAUAGAAAGUCAUCGCGUUGCUCAUUCGUCCAAAGUAUGGAGGAUCUGUGCUAUUC
Molecule: long non-coding RNA, 984 nt
Organism: Bombus pascuorum
Lineage: Eukaryota; Metazoa; Arthropoda; Insecta; Hymenoptera; Apidae
Exons: 3
Source: RefSeq, a predicted model, not a curated record